CCGCACAGCCGGGGAGAUGGCGGUGCCCUGUAUCUGCAAUCCGCCUUAGCAGAGGUGAUAUCCCGCCCCGGAUGAGAGGCUGUAAGGCUGCCCACGGUAAGUGGUGCUGACACGAGGGUCCUUGCGCAACAGAGACUUGUGAACCUUGUCAGGGCAGGAAUGCAGCAGCAAUAAGCAGGAACUUCUGUGUGCCGUAAGAUUGCCGUCGUCGAGCUAACUGCCGUGGUAACGUUUAUGGCCAGCAUUCAAAGCGGGAUGUGCGG
This 263-nucleotide signal recognition particle RNA is filed under the name Johnsonella sp. RNAcentral's name for it is "signal recognition particle sRNA large type". It matches the Rfam family "Bacterial large signal recognition particle RNA". Rfam says of the family: The signal recognition particle (SRP) is a universally conserved ribonucleoprotein involved in the co-translational targeting of proteins to membranes. Archaeal SRP consists of a 7S RNA and homologues of the eukaryotic SRP19 and SRP54 proteins. Lineage: Bacteria; Bacillati; Bacillota; Clostridia; Lachnospirales; Lachnospiraceae. The record is from RNAcentral.